This 86-nucleotide small RNA is filed under the name Pan troglodytes (chimpanzee). RNAcentral's name for it is "processed transcript". The record is from RNAcentral. Lineage: Eukaryota; Metazoa; Chordata; Mammalia; Primates; Hominidae.
GGAAUGCAGCUGGAAGAUCUCAAACAGCAGCUCCAGCAGGCCGAGGAGGCCCUGGUGGCCAAACAGGAGGUGAUCGAUAAGCUGAA